CAGUUGGUUUGGUGUACCCGGAAGAUUUGUUUGUCUUCCUUCUUAAUAAAUGCAAGAUGAAAGAAGAACCCCUGGCUGUUGGUGCACUUUCUGUAUUAAAGCAUUUAUUACCCAGAUUGUCCGAGGCUUGGCAUAGUAAGAGGCCUUUACUAAUUGAAGUUGUGAAGCUGUUAUUGGAUGAGCUUAAUUUAGGGGUCUGUAAGGCCCUUGCAGAGCUAAUUGUGGUUAUGGCUUCCCACUGUUACUUGGUUGGUUCUUCUGGAGAGAUGUUCAUUGAAUAUCUUGUUCGCCAUUCUGCAAUGUUUGGUCUGCACAGAGAUGAUACUGAG
This 329-nucleotide unclassified non-coding RNA is filed under the name Hevea brasiliensis (rubber tree). The record is from RNAcentral. Lineage: Eukaryota; Viridiplantae; Streptophyta; Magnoliopsida; Malpighiales; Euphorbiaceae.